UCUCGGGUAGUAUAGUGGCGAGUAUCCCCGCCUGUCACGCGGGAGACCGGGGUUCAAUUCCCCGCUCGAGAG
This 72-nucleotide transfer RNA is filed under the name Entomophthora muscae. Its description in RNAcentral is "tRNA-Asp". It matches the Rfam family "tRNA". From Rfam's summary of the family: Transfer RNA (tRNA) molecules are approximately 80 nucleotides in length. Their secondary structure includes four short double-helical elements and three loops (D, anti-codon, and T loops). The record is from RNAcentral. Lineage: Eukaryota; Fungi; Entomophthoromycota; Entomophthoromycetes; Entomophthorales; Entomophthoraceae.